AAAAAACAAUGCCAUCCAUGAAUUUCAAGUGUACUUCCAACAAGGCGAUUGAUCAUUUCAACCCAGGAGCUACGUUGAUGAAAAUCUCUGGGUAUGUUGAUACUCUGGAAGGGUUGAAAGAAUUGCCGAAUUCACCAUCAAAAUGGCUUUGUAAAUGAAUUAUUAAUAACAACGCUGGUCGAAGAAUUCGCCUUCUCUUCUGGGGGGAUGACGCAUGAAAUUCAACAAAGAGAUUCUCAUGUACCAGGUUUUGAAGAUAACUGGUGGAAUAAUCAGAGCUUCUAACCCUCGAUUCCGCACAUCUGGAGACACCGUCUGUGAGAAUGAGUUUCAAUAUUGGACCUGGAAGUGAAUUAGAAGUUUUGGGACAGUUUGACGUAGCAAAUGGUGCUACUGAGAAAACGAACAAAACCAUUCAUUACGAGUCAAUUGAAAUGGAAAAUAUUUAUGCUGCUCGCGGUUCCGUUAUGGUGACAGGAUGGAUUAAGGAGCACUUCAGGGGUAUUAGCACAUCCACUGGUGCCAGCUAC
Molecule: long non-coding RNA, 530 nt
Organism: Fopius arisanus
Lineage: Eukaryota; Metazoa; Arthropoda; Insecta; Hymenoptera; Braconidae
Exons: 3
Source: RefSeq, a predicted model, not a curated record